RNAcentral lists this ribosomal RNA (274 nucleotides) under uncultured bacterium. RNAcentral describes it as "partial 16S ribosomal RNA". It matches the Rfam family "Bacterial small subunit ribosomal RNA", at positions 524 to 796 of the family's 1533-position model. The record is from RNAcentral.
UACGGAGGGGACUAGCGUUGUUCGGAAUUACUGGGCGUAAAGAGUUCGUAGGCGGAUAAGCAAGUAAGAGGUGAAAGCCCAGGGCUCAACCUUGGAACUGCCUUUUAAACUGCUUAUCUAGAGACCGGUAGAGGUUAGGGAAUACUAGUGUAGAGGUGAAAUUCGUAGAUAUUAGGUGGAACACCAGUGGCGAAGGCGCCUAACUGGACCGGUACUGACGCUGGAGGAACGAAAGCGUGGGGAGCAAACAGGAUUAGAUACCCCGUGGUAGUCC